UACGGGGGGGGCAAGCGUUGUUCGGAAUCACUGGGCUUAAAGGGCGCGUAGGCGGGCUCUCAAGUCCGGGGUGAAAUCCCACAGCUCAACUGUGAAACUGCCUCGGAUACUGGGGGCCUCGAGGGUGGUAGGGGUAUGCGGAACUAUCGGUGGAGCGGUGAAAUGCGUUGAUAUCGAUAGGAACUCCGGUGGCGAAGGCGGCAUACUGGACCACAUCUGACGCUGAGGCGCGAAAGCCAGGGGAGCAAACGGG
Molecule: ribosomal RNA, 253 nt
Filed under: uncultured bacterium
Lineage: Bacteria
Description: partial 16S ribosomal RNA
Rfam family: Bacterial small subunit ribosomal RNA
Source: RNAcentral